CCUACGGGUGGCAGCAGUGAGGAAUAUUGGUCAAUGGACGCAAGUCUGAACCAGCCAUGCCGCGUGCAGGAAGACGGCUCUAUGAGUUGUAAACUGCUUUUGUACGAGGGUAAACGCAGAUACGCGUAUCUGUCUGAAAGUAUCGUACGAAUAAGGAUCGGCUAACUCCGUGCCAGCAGCCGCGGUAAUACGGAGGAUUCAAGCGUUAUCCGGAUUUAUUGGGUUUAAAGGGUGCGUAGGCGGUCGGAUAAGUUAGAGGUGAAAUCCCGAGGCUCAACUUCGGAAUUGCCUCUGAUACUUUUCGUCUAGAGAGUAGUUGCGGUAGGCGGAAUGUAUGGUGUAGCGGUGAAAUGCUUAGAGAUCAUACAGAACACCGAUUGCGAAGGCAGCUUACCAAGCUACUUCUGACGUUGAGGCACGAAAGCGUGGGGAGCAAACAGGAUUAGAUACCCUGGUAGUC
RNAcentral lists this ribosomal RNA (460 nucleotides) under uncultured bacterium. Its description in RNAcentral is "partial 16S ribosomal RNA". It matches the Rfam family "Bacterial small subunit ribosomal RNA", at positions 338 to 795 of the family's 1533-position model. The record is from RNAcentral.